AGGGCACCACCAGGAGUGGAGCCUGCGGCUUAAUUUGACUCAACGCGGGGAAACUCACCCGGCCCGGACACCGUAAGGAUUGACAGAUUGAGAGCUCUUUCUUGAUUCGGUGGGUGGUGGUGCAUGGCCGUUCUUAGUUGGUGGAGCGAUUUGUCUGGUUAAUUCCGAUAACGAACGAGACUCUAGCCAACUAAAUAGUGUGCGGAUCUUAGUUCGACACACUUCUUAGAGGGACAAGGGGUAUCUAGCCCCACGAGAUUGAGCAAUAACAGGUCUGUGAUGCCCUUAGAUGUCCGGGGCUGCACGCGCGCUACACUGAAGGAGUCAACAUGUAUUGUAACCUUGUCUGAAAAGACCGGGUAACCCAAUGAAACUCCUUCGUGAUUGGGAUAGGGCUUUGUAAUUAUCGCCCUUGAACGAGGAAUUCCUAGUAAGUGCGGGUCAUCAUCUCGCGUUGAUUACGUCCCUGCCCUUUGUACACACCGCCCGUCGCUACUACCGAUUGGAUGAUCUAGUGAG
This 519-nucleotide ribosomal RNA is filed under the name uncultured eukaryote. RNAcentral's name for it is "SSU rRNA". It matches the Rfam family "Eukaryotic small subunit ribosomal RNA", at positions 1161 to 1705 of the family's 1831-position model. The record is from RNAcentral.